RNAcentral lists this ribosomal RNA (565 nucleotides) under Bacillus amyloliquefaciens. RNAcentral describes it as "bacterial SSU rRNA". It matches the Rfam family "Bacterial small subunit ribosomal RNA", at positions 562 to 1125 of the family's 1533-position model. Lineage: Bacteria; Bacillati; Bacillota; Bacilli; Caryophanales; Bacillaceae. The record is from RNAcentral.
AAAGGGCUCGCAGGCGGUUUCUUAAGUCUGAUGUGAAAGCCCCCGGCUCAACCGGGGAGGGUCAUUGGAAACUGGGGAACUUGAGUGCAGAAGAGGAGAGUGGAAUUCCACGUGUAGCGGUGAAAUGCGUAGAGAUGUGGAGGAACACCAGUGGCGAAGGCGACUCUCUGGUCUGUAACUGACGCUGAGGAGCGAAAGCGUGGGGAGCGAACAGGAUUAGAUACCCUGGUAGUCCACGCCGUAAACGAUGAGUGCUAAGUGUUAGGGGGUUUCCGCCCCUUAGUGCUGCAGCUAACGCAUUAAGCACUCCGCCUGGGGAGUACGGUCGCAAGACUGAAACUCAAAGGAAUUGACGGGGGCCCGCACAAGCGGUGGAGCAUGUGGUUUAAUUCGAAGCAACGCGAAGAACCUUACCAGGUCUUGACAUCCUCUGACAAUCCUAGAGAUAGGACGUCCCUUACGGGGGCAGAGUGACAGGUGGUGCAUGGUUGUCGUCAGCUCGUGUCGUGAGAUGUUGGGUUAAGUCCCGCAACGAGCGCAACCCUUGAUCUUAGUUGCCAGCAUU